RNAcentral lists this ribosomal RNA (774 nucleotides) under uncultured Neocallimastigales. RNAcentral describes it as "partial large subunit ribosomal RNA". It matches the Rfam family "Eukaryotic large subunit ribosomal RNA", at positions 24 to 644 of the family's 3401-position model. The record is from RNAcentral. Lineage: Eukaryota; Fungi; Neocallimastigomycota; Neocallimastigomycetes; Neocallimastigales.
UAUCUCUGUAGAGUCUGCAUAUCAAUAAGCGGAGGAAAAGAAACUAACAAGGAUUCCCCUAGUAACGGCGAGUGAAGCGGGAAGAGCUCAAAUUUGAAAUCUUCAAGGUUUGACCUUGACGAAUUGUAGUUUAAAGAAGUGUUUUCGGUUAGAGGAGUAGUAAAAGUUCUUUGGAAUAGGACAUCAUAGAGGGUGAGAAUCCCGUAUUUGGUUAUUCAUUCUAGCUUUGUGAUACACCUUCAAAGAGUCGGAUUGUUUGGGAAUGCAGUCCAAAAUGGGUGGUAAAUUUCAUCUAAAGCUAAAUAUUGGCGAGAGACCGAUAGCGAACAAGUACCGUGAGGGAAAGAUGAAAAGAACUUUGAAAAGAGAGUUAAACAGUACGUGAAAUUGUCAAAAGGGAAGCGUUUGACACCAGUGUUGUUUUUCCGAAAAUCAAUUACGAAUGGCUUGAUUUUGUGUUGUAUUGACCUUAUCAGCUUUCUUCACUUUUUUCGAGUCUUUCUUAAUGCACUUUUCGGUUAGCAAGUCAACAUCAAUUUCUUUUGUUGUGAAAGAGUAUUCGGAAGGUGGCUUUCUUUUCGGAGAAAGUGUUUAUAGCCCUAUACUUCUACAAUCGGAGAGAUUGAGGUCUGCAGCGUAGAUCCUUCGGGGUUAGAUACAUUUGUGCUAAGUUGUAGCUUUUCAUAGACAACUUGUUGACUAUGUUUAGUCAUGCGGCUUACUCGCUUAUGCUAUUUUACCUACGCUUAGGAUGUUGAACUACUGAGACAUAGA